RNAcentral lists this ribosomal RNA (1360 nucleotides) under uncultured bacterium. Its description in RNAcentral is "partial 16S ribosomal RNA". It matches the Rfam family "Bacterial small subunit ribosomal RNA". The record is from RNAcentral.
GAGUUUGAUCCUGGCUCAGGAACAACGCUGGCGGCGUGCCUAACGCAUGCAAGUCGGGCGGGCGUCUCUUUCGGGGGAUGUCAGCGGCGGACGGGUGAGGAACGCGUGGGCAACCUGCCCCGACGUGGGGGACAACUCCGGGAAACCGGGGCUGAUACCGCAUAUGGUCGGUCCUUGGACGGGGACUGAGCAAAGCCUUCGGGCGCGACGGGAGGGGCCUGCGUCCGAUUAGCUGGUUGGCGGGGUGACGGCCCACCAAGGCGACGAUCGGUAGCUGGUCUGAGAGGACGACCAGCCACAGGGGAACUGAGACACGGUCCCCACACCUACGGGUGGCAGCAGCGAGGGAUUUUCGGCAAUGGGCGCAAGCCUGACCGAGCAACGCCGCGUGCGGGACGACGCCCUUCGGGGUGUAAACCGCUUUUCGGUGGGACGAAGAUGACGGUACCACCGGAAUAAGCCUCGGCUAACUACGUGCCAGCAGCCGCGGUAAGACGUAGGAGGCGAGCGUUGUCCGGAAUCAUUGGGCGUAAAGCACGCGUAGGCGGCCAGAUAAGUCCGGUGUGAAAGUCAAAGGCUCAACCUUUGAAUGCUGCUGGAAACUGUCUGGCUAGAGUCCGGAAGGGGCGAGUGGAACUCCUGGUGUAGCGGUGAAAUGCGCAGAUAUCAGGAAGAACACCAAUGGCGAAGGCAGCUCGCUAGGACGGUACUGACGCUGAGGCGCGAAAGCGUGGGGAGCAAACAGGAUUAGAUACCCUGGUAGUCCACGCCGUAAACGAUGGGCACUAGGUGUGGGAGGUGUCGACUCCUCCCGUGCCGAAGCUAACGCAUUAAGUGCCCCGCCUGGGGAGUACGGCCGCAAGGCUAAAACUCAAAGGAAUUGACGGGGACCCGCACAAGCAGCGGAGCAUGUGGUUUAAUUCGACGCAACGCGAAGAACCUUACCUGGGCUUGACAUGUGAGUGACCGCCCUGGAAACAGGGCUUCCCUUCGGGGCACUUUCACAGGUGGUGCAUGGCUGUCGUCAGCUCGUGCCGUGAGGUGUUGGGUUAAGUCCCGCAACGAGCGCAACCCUCGUUCCAUGUUGCCAGCGGGUCAUGCCGGGGACUCAUGGGAGACUGCCGGGGUCAACUCGGAGGAAGGUGGGGAUGACGUCAAGUCAUCAUGCCCCUUAUGUCCAGGGCUUCACGCAUGCUACAAUGGCCGGUACAAUGGGCUGCGAUACCGCAAGGUGGAGCGAAUCCCAAAAAGCCGGUCUCAGUUCGGAUCGGGGUCUGCAACUCGACCCCGUGAAGUCGGAGUCGCUAGUAAUCGCAGAUCAGCAACGCUGCGGUGAUACGUUCCCGGGCCUUGUACACAC